CCUACGUGAGGCUGCAGUGGGGAAUAUUGGACAAUGGGCGAAAGCCUGAUCCAGCCAUGCCGCGUGUGUGAAGAAGGCCUUCGGGUUGUAAAGCACUUUCAGUGGGGAAGAAAGCCUUGGGGCUAAUACCCUCGAGGAAGGACAUCACCCACAGAAGAAGCACCGGCUAACUCCGUGCCAGCAGCCGCGGUAAUACGGAGGGUGCGAGCGUUAAUCGGAAUUACUGGGCGUAAAGCGCGCGUAGGCGGUCUGAUAAGCCGGUUGUGAAAGCCCCGGGCUCAACCUGGGAACGACAUCCGGAACUGUCAGGCUAGAGUGCAGGAGAGGAAGGUAGAAUUCCCGGUGUAGCGGUGAAAUGCGUAGAGAUCGGGAGGAAUACCAGUGGCGAAGGCGGCCUUCUGGACUGACACUGACGCUGAGGUGCGAAAGCGUGGGUAGCAAACAGGAUUAGAUACCCGAGUAGUC
RNAcentral lists this ribosomal RNA (465 nucleotides) under Vreelandella stevensii. RNAcentral's name for it is "partial 16S ribosomal RNA". It matches the Rfam family "Bacterial small subunit ribosomal RNA", at positions 338 to 795 of the family's 1533-position model. The record is from RNAcentral. Lineage: Bacteria; Pseudomonadati; Pseudomonadota; Gammaproteobacteria; Oceanospirillales; Halomonadaceae.